Molecule: ribosomal RNA, 432 nt
Filed under: uncultured bacterium
Lineage: Bacteria
Description: partial 16S ribosomal RNA
Rfam family: Bacterial small subunit ribosomal RNA
Source: RNAcentral
ACGCACGCUGGCGGCAGGCCUAACACAUGCAAGUCGAGCGAGGACUUCGGUUCUAGCGGCGGACGGGUGAGUAACGCGUGGGAAUGUGCCCUUCUCUACGGAAUAGCCCUGGGAAACUGGGAGUAAUACCGUAUACGCCCUAUUGGGGAAAGAUUUAUCGGAGAAGGAUCAGCCCGCGUUGGAUUAGGUAGUUGGUGGGGUAAUGGCCUACCAAGCCGACGAUCCAUAGCUGGUUUGAGAGGAUGAUCAGCCACACUGGGACUGAGACACGGCCCAGACUCCUACGGGAAGCAGCAGUGGGGAAUCUUAGACAAUGGGGGCAACCCUGAUCUAGCCAUGCCGCGUGAGUGAUGAAGGCCUUAGGGUUGUAAAGCUCUUUCAGCUGGGAAGAUAAUGACGGUACCAGCAGAAGAAGCCCCGGCUAACUCCGUG